GACGAACGCUGGCGGCGUGCCUAAUACAUGCAAGUCGAACGAGAGCGACCGGUGCUUGCACUGGUCAAUCUAGUGGCGAACGGGUGAGUAACACGUGGGUAACCUGCCCAUCAGAGGGGGAUAACAUCCGGAAACGGAUGCUAAAACCGCAUAGGUCUUCGAACCGCAUGGUUUGAAGAGGAAAAGAGGCGCAAGCUUCUGCUGAUGGAUGGACCCGCGGUGCAUUAGCUAGUUGGGGAGGUAACGGCUCACCAAGGCCGUGAUGCAUAGCCGACCUGAGAGGGUGAUCGGCCACAUUGGGACUGAGACACGGCCCAAACUCCUACGGGAGGCAGCAGUAGGGAAUCUUCCGCAAUGGACGCAAGUCUGACGGAGCAACGCCGCGUGAGUGAAGAAGGUUUUCGGAUCGUAAAACUCUGUUGUUAGAGAAGAACAAGUGCUAGAGUAACUGUUAGCGCCUUGACGGUAUCUAACCAGAAAGCCACGGCUAACUACGUG
RNAcentral lists this ribosomal RNA (498 nucleotides) under uncultured bacterium. RNAcentral's name for it is "partial 16S ribosomal RNA". It matches the Rfam family "Bacterial small subunit ribosomal RNA", at positions 28 to 507 of the family's 1533-position model. The record is from RNAcentral.